ACUCACCCCCUCGUACGGGAUAUUCCGACAACACAAAAGGAACAACUUCUUGCCAAACAAAAGUAAACCAGAAUGAAAAGAGUGAAAAAGCUGGGUUUGAAGUGUGGUAGUUUUUUCUCUGCAGCAGUUAGGAUAGUUGUUUUGCUUGUUGACGGUUAUGUAUGGACCUUGAACUGGAACCACCCGCUCUGCCAGGUGGUGACCGGCCUUUUGUUGCCUCUGAUGACUCUUCUUCGAUGGAGAAAGUGGACUCACUCUCUCCAGAGGAUGCUCGUCGGACGAAGAAGCGCCCCAAGAUGGAUGGUUCUUCGGAUCCCUUCUGAGGGAGAAGCACCGUUUGGGAAGACUGUGAUUCACACCAAGGAGAUUCCAAACCCUUCUCAGGGGGAGGGUCUAUUGAGGCAAUCAGAUGGCACUAACGUGGGGUUGAUGGGGGACCGGCUCCACCCAAACGGUCCUAUAAGGACUCUGUGCUAGGGGUCGAUGAUGCUAUAGAGGAUGUCUUCCCCAAUUCGAGUUGUUCACAGGAAAAGGAAUUGAGGAGUUCGAGCCGAGCGAUGAAGAGGAUGAUGCCGAGGAUGAUAUGGUGGUUUGUCCUACCAUUCCUUUCUCCAAGGAGCAACUCAAGCGGUUUCAGGCUCCAUAAUGGAGUUCCUUGAUCAUGAAGGUCCUUGGACGUCGAUUUGGGCUACAUGUAUCUCGGGAAAAGGCUGGAAUUCCUGUGAAGCCUAAGGGGACAUGAAAGUGAUACGUUUGGGACACGACUAUUUCUUAGUCAAGUUUGGAAAUCUUGAUGAUUUGCUCUGAAUGAAGGCCCGUGGACUGUGCUUGGUCAUUAUUUAUCGAUGCGGGAAUGGGUACCGGAUUUCGAUCCAAUGGAAACUCUAAUUGACAGGACUGUUUUAGGGCACGGAUCCCAUUUUUCUCCAUGGAGUAUUAUAAUGAGGAAGGGCUGUAAGAGGUUGGUAAUCAUCUUGGUAAAGCCCUUAAGAUUGAUUUCAAUACUAAGGCAUUUGAGAAGGACAAUUUCGCAUGUCUUUGUGUGGAAGUCAAUUUGACUAGGCGACUUCGAGUGAAGUUUUAUUUACGUGGUAAGCGUUACCGUGUGGAGUAUGAAGGCAUCCUUCUUGUCUGUUUCAAGUGUGGCCGAUAUGGUCAUAAGCAUGACCUUUGUCCCUUGAAGGAGCCUGGUGUGGAACAAAUCUUCGGCUCUAAGGAAGUGCCAUGGGAGAACCUUCAUGCUCAAAAUGUUGGACAAGUGGAUCAAACCAAGCAUUCUACUGUUGUUGAGGGCGUUGCUGUCUCUACGGGGUCUGCAACUAAUCCUCCAUUAUCUGAUCCUUGUGGUCCUUGGAUGCUAGUGCAGAAACCGAGGAGGAGAUCUACGAGUGGAUCGGGUGGUGCAACUAGGAAUAAGGGGAGUUGACGAUGCUUCCAAAGGGACAGAAGUUUCAAGGGGAUCACGCUUUGCCGUUUUGGGGGCGGAUAGAGAGGAUGUUGGGGAACUGCAUAAUGGUAUGGUGACUCCUUCUGCACAAGCGGGAGUGGUGGGAAGUGGGAGUGAUUUAGCUAAACAGGUUCAAGGCCGGCAUCAAGCUAGUUGAGUCAAAAACCAGCCUGAGAGAGGCCCGACACAAUCUGGUAAACAGAAGGUUACUCAAGCCCAUUUUCAUAUCCCGAAGAAAGUGCAUGGUCAGGGCUCACAGUCUCUCACGGAGACUCAGAAAUUUCUACUACGCAGGAACCAAGUCGGUCUAGUCGGAGAGCAGAAUAAUGGGGCUGCAUCUACACUAAAUGGAGGACAUAAGAAGGUGGCGAUGGAAGAAUCUUCUGCAGUUCCUCCAGGUGCAGCCGUGCACCUUAUUUCCCACUCCAGUCACGGGUCCGAUUCUAAGGAACCUUCAGGGGUGGGAAAUAUUCCCACUGCAGCUUGUGCCAUGGAAACUGAGGCUCCGGGCCAAGUUGCUCUAUGGGCCAAAGGUCUUGAACCUAAGUACCUGAAGCCACCCGAUCCUGUUCUCCAUAUUCAGGAAACACUGGAAACUGGUUGCAGGGAUGUGUCAAUGUCUCAAUCUAGUAUUGAGGAGCAGGUACCGGACUCUCAAUGUCCAGGGGUGACCAAAUUCGGGUGAAAGUGUUCUUAUACAUCAGGAUGUCCACUUGGGCGACAUGAAGGAUUAAUGUAGUCUUUCUUUAUAUUAUUUCUGUUAUUAUGCAUGUUUUUAGCUGGAAUUGUCGUGGCACGGGGGAUAGGAGGUUUGUUCGUGAUGCAAAGGAGUACAUGCGCUCUGAUAAACCGAAUAUUUUUGUUAUUUUUGAAUCGCAUAUUAGCAGUCUAAUUGCAGACAGAGUUUGUUGUAGAUUCAGGGGAUUCUCGGUUAUUAGAGAGGAAGCACAUGGUUUCUCCAGUGGCAUUUGGGUCUUCUGGAACUCGACACAGGUUCAAAUCUCAAUUGUUCAUCGUCAUGAUCAAGCUAUUCAUUUGCACGUGGAGGGAAAUCAGAAAUAUUGGUUACUUACUGCCAUAUACAGGUCAUCCUGUGGAAGCCCGUAGGCGUGCUUUGUGGGAUUUUCUGGUGGGGUGCGCCCAGCACAUUUCGAUGCCAUGGCUCGUUAUUGGAGAUUUUAGUGAAAUCUUGUAAGCUAAUGAGAAACGUGGGGGAGCUCCUUUCAAUCCAACUCCGACUUUCCAGUUCCGUGAGGUCCUCGAGGCAAUGGACCUCGCUUCACAUGGCAAGGACCAGCAACUCGGGGAUAUGAAUAGGUGCUCAAGCGGCUUGAUAGAGCUGUUUGCAAUGCGGCUUGCCGCACUCUCUUCCCGGAUGCAGCUUUACGAGUACUCCCAAGAGUGAAAUCAUCAGAUCAUCAUCCGCUUCUGCUUGAUACUAGGGGGUUUGGUGGUAAAUGACCCUUUCGGUGUCUAGCGGCUUGGCAUUCUCAUCUGGAUUUCCCGAAUUUAGUGCAGUCGGUUUGGUCAUUUUCGAUGAACCUUUCAGCUAAUUUAGCCUGCUUCUGUGAGAAGGUCCAAGUCUAGAAUAAAGAAACUCUUGGUCACAUCAUUCGCUGAAAGUCGAGAUUGAUGGCGCAUCUUGCAGGGGCUCAACGUGCUCUACAAAUUCAACCGAAUAGGUUUCUUAUACAGUUGGAAGCUCAACUUCAAGCAGAACUGGAGGAUACCUUAGCACAGGAAGAGAUGCUCUGGUUUCAGAAAUCUCGCUGCCAAUGGGUCCAUGACGGUGAUCGGAAUACAAAAUAUUUCCGCACGGAAGCCAUUAUAAAUAGAAAACGAAUCGAGAUCUUAGAGCUAAAAAGAGGAGUCGGGAGCUUGGGUAUCAGAUCCAAUACGUCUAAAGCAGAUGGCACUCCAACAUUUUAACCGAUUAUAUACUGAGGAAGUGACGGAGAAUGGCAUUGAGUUGCCCAAUGGUUUUCCGGAGGGUGUGGCAUUGAGCACUGGAUGGACAGGUUUCUCUUGAAGAAAUUCUCAAAGCUCUCUUUGACAUGAAGCCCUAUAAGGCCCCCGGUCCGGAUGGAUUUCAGGAAUUAGUGCAUACUAUGAGCCGUAUCAAACAGGCAAGAAGUUUAUGUUGAUCAAAAUUGAUCUCGAGAAGGCCUAUGACAGACUUUGAUUGUCAUUUAUAGCAGAAACCUUGGAAUUUGCAGGAUUGCCUCCUAAUUUAAGGAGAAUUAUUAUGGAAUGCAUUACUACCACGACUAUGAGGGUACUACGGAAUGGUGAUUCUACAGGGAGUUUCGACUGAUCGCGGUAUUCGACAGGGUUGUCCUCUUUCUCCUUAUAUCUUUGUGCUUUGUAUGGAAGACUUGCCCAUCUUAUCAAUGAGGUGGUCCAUUACGGUCUAUGGAUUCCAAUGAAGGUGGGACGUCAUGGACCAGCCAUAUCGCAUUUGAUGUUUGCUGAUGACUUGCUUCUUUUGGCGGAAGCUUCGGUGGACCAGAUGAUGAGAAUUCAGGGUGCUCUACAUUGUUUUUGUGAGGCAUCGGGGCAGAAAGUCUGUCGUCCUAAAUCUUUGGUUUUCUUUUCUAAAUCUGUACCUCAGGAAUACAGGGAGCAGAUCUUGUAAGUGUGCGGUUUCACGGCUGCCACUUCAAUUGGCCGGUACUUAGGUGUGGCUAUCGUUCAUGGGAGAGUUGGCAGGGAACAUUUUCAGCAUGUUCUAAACAGAGUUCGAGCACGACUCUCGCAAUGGUCUGCUUCGACACUUUCCAUAGCGGGUCGGGCAACAUUGACUCAGUUGGUCUUACAUGGUAUUCCAAUGUUGACGACGCACACCAUGAAGUUGCCGGCUCGAUAUGCAGGGUUAUAGACAGUUUGUGUCGCAAUUUUAUAUGGGACAUAUAGCUGAAUGCAGAAAGAUCCACCUUGUUCGAUGGGAUGUCGUUACUCAACCUCACAAUUGCAGUGGCUUGGGGCUUCGGAGAAUUUAGGAGUUUAACGACUCGCAAUUGCAGUGGCUUGGGGCUUCGGAGAAUUGAGGAGUUUAACGAGGCAUUACUUGCUAAGCUUGGAUGGGGCUAUCUUACACGCCCUAGUCACCUGUGGGUUCGAAUACUUCGAAGUAAAUAUCGUCAUCGUGAAGGAGAGGAUUUCCAACUUCUGCUCUCUUCUUCUGAUUCUUGGUUAUGGAAGGGUAUUUCCAGAGUUUGGAAACAGGGUCUCUCAUGGUGCAUCCUGGGCAGUUGGUCGUGGGGUUACGGUGCGUUUUGGGAGGACAACUGGGUUCCUGGGGGAGGAGCGUUAUUACAUCGACCUUUAGGGCCUGCUCAUCCUCAGUUACGAAACAGAACAAUGAAUGAGUUUGUUCGUGUUGAUGGGUCUUGCAGUUGGGACACUUUCAGUAACUUACUAGAUAAUUAUACGUUGUUGCAGCUGGCUUCAAUCCGUGCCCACAGCAAAUUGCAGCGCCUGAUCGCCUGUUUUGGUCAAGAGAAAAUUCUGGACUCUUCUCUGCUAGAUCAGCAUAUUUUCUGUUGUUGCAGGAGGGAGAACAGGUGACUAAUCCUUUAUGGAAGUAUGUAUGGAAAUGGUCAGGUCCUCAAAGAAUCCGACAAUUUCUUUGGUUAGUCUUGCUAACAAAUGAGUACUGUAGUCGAAUUCAUCUAGCUGGGACGGAUGGGUGCUCUUUUUGUGCGGAUCAGGUGGAAACUUCUUUACAUGUUGUUCAUGACUGUCUCUGGCAAGAGACAUGUGGUCACGACUUGUUCCUCAGCAUUUGCAACCUUGUUUCUUUUCACAAGACUUGGGGCUUUGGCUAUAUCCAAUCUGCAAGAAGAAUGAAUACGGGGGAGGGAUGUUCCUUGGCUAAUGAUUUUUGGUGUCAGUUGUUGGUUACUGUGGACUUGGCGAAAUAGGCGGCUACUUGACCCAAAUUUCGCUAUGCCGGGCAGUACUACUGAGGUAGUUUUGAAGACUGCCAGCUCCUUCGCUAAAGCGAAUGAUGCCUCGAUCACUUCCCCCCAAGAGGUGUCGGGAAUGAAGGUGGAUAAAAUGGAAAUGGCCACUGAAUGGGUAUGUCAAACUCAAUACUGAUGGUGCUUCUUCAGGUAACCUGGAUUGUGCCGGCGCUGGUGGCUUAUUGCGCCAUAAAUUUGGUCAGUGGUUAUUCGGUUAUGUUCGAAAUAUUGGCAUAGCUUUCCGCUAUAGUGGCUGAGCUCUUAGUGUUUAUUGCGCCAUAAAGAUGGUCAGUGGUUAUUCGGUUAUGUUCGAAAUAUUGGCAUAGCUUUCGCUAUAGUGGCUGAGCGCUUAGUGUUCUCACGGGUUUGGAGUAUGCUCCGGAGUAUGGCUAUUGGAAUAUUAAAGUAGAAGUAAAUUCCGAAAUAGUUUGUAAGCUUAUUCUCAGUAGGGACCCAAGUGCCCCUCAUCUAUCUAUGCUGGUGGAUCUCAUUCGAGACUUGUUCGAUCGUGAUUAGAAUAUUGUAUUACAUCAUACCUAUAGAAAAGUAACUCUUGUGCAAAUUGAAUAGUCAAAAGGGCUCUGCAGAUGCCCUUCAAUUUUCAUUUCUUUUGGUAUCCACCGUCUGCAUUA
This is a non-coding RNA of Punica granatum (pomegranate), 6044 nucleotides long. The record is from RefSeq and is a predicted model, not a curated record. NCBI's taxonomy places the organism in Eukaryota, Viridiplantae, Streptophyta, Magnoliopsida, Myrtales, Lythraceae.